GUGCUCGCGUGGGCAGCGCAUAUACUGAAAGAGGAACGAUACAGAGAAGAUUAGCCUGGCUGCUGCGCAAGGAUGACACGCAAAUUCAUGAAGGGUUCCACGUUAAA
Molecule: small nuclear RNA, 107 nt
Organism: Hippopotamus amphibius kiboko
Lineage: Eukaryota; Metazoa; Chordata; Mammalia; Artiodactyla; Hippopotamidae
Source: RefSeq, a predicted model, not a curated record